GUGAGGAAUAUUGCACAAUGGGGGAAACCCUGAUGCAGCAACGCCGCGUGGGUGAUGAAGGCCUUCGGGUCGUAAAACCCUUUUCUGGAGGAAGAGUAAGGACGGUACUCCAGGAAUAAGUCCCGGCUAACUACGUGCCAGCAGCCGCGGUAAAACGUAGGGGGCGAGCGUUAUCCGGAUUUAUUGGGCGUAAAGCGCGUGUAGGCGGCUUGGUAGGUUGGACGUGAAAGCUCCUGGCUUAACUGGGAGAGGCCGUUCAAUACCGCCAGGCUUGAGGUCGGAAGAGGGGAGUGGAAUUCCCGGUGUAGUGGUGGAAUGCGUAGAUAUCGGGAGGAACACCUGUGGCGAAAGCGGCUCCCUGGUCCGCACCUGACGCUCAGACGCGAAAGCGUGGGGAGCGAACGGGAUUAGAUACCCGAGUAGUCC
RNAcentral lists this ribosomal RNA (426 nucleotides) under uncultured bacterium. RNAcentral's name for it is "bacterial SSU rRNA". It matches the Rfam family "Bacterial small subunit ribosomal RNA", at positions 354 to 796 of the family's 1533-position model. The record is from RNAcentral.